Cinara cedri is the source of this 986-nucleotide non-coding RNA. The record is from the annotation of a GenBank genome assembly. NCBI's taxonomy places the organism in Eukaryota, Metazoa, Arthropoda, Insecta, Hemiptera, Aphididae.
UUUUGCGGUUGUUAUAAUUGUAGCGAUUUGAAGUUUUGUUCUAACCCUAUUUUUAAUUUCUGUUGACUCGUUGACGGGAUAUUAUACUUUCGAGUUUGGGUAAGGAAAUUUCAGCAUAUAAAUGUUGGCUCGAUGAAAGACAAAAUUGGAGCCGCCGCGUCCUCGCACAUCCUUGACACUAACACAAUAUAUAUAUAUAUAUAUAUAUAUAUAUAUGUAUCUAUUUACAAAAUAUCGUUCUCCUGUCAUAACUUUAUAGGAUGUGUAAGAGACUAAAAGCAAUGGUGUAACUGGAUGGAAAUCUAAGGGCGCAAAAUAACUUAUCCACCGUAAUAAAAAUCCUGAGACCCCCCCCUCGAUUUAAAUAUAUUUUAGAUUCUGAAUGGAGUGAAGAACUUGUUGGUUUUACAAUAAUGUUUAUUUUUUAUCCCGUUUUUUCUUUUCAUUUUUUUUUUUUGUGUGUGAAUAACUUUUCUACCAGACAUUUCGCUUUGAUUUUCAAGUGUAGCAUUUUUUCUGAAAGGAAAUUUGGCUGGAGUAGCACUUAAGCGAGGUAAUGCGUUGGUUUUCCCAGGGGUUAACAUAAAAAAUGGGAAAACCGAGAAAAAACGUAGGAAAAACAGGAAAAUUUACGAAAUUUAUUAUUAUUAAAUUGUGAGUAUUACGGCCUUUCAAAAUAUGUACAGCCGAACGCCACUCAGAAUCGUUCUCCAUUAGCAAUUAUUAACCGUUAUCUACAAAUAAACAUUCAAUUUCCUCUCUACCUUCAAACUUCUUACUUCAAUGGCUCACCCAUCGUGCGAAGUAUGUUCGUUUGUUUUUAUUGUAUGCGUUGUAUACGGUACAUUUAAUUGUUUUUACACAAAUGUUUAAACUAAUUUUGUGGUUUAGAAAUAAAUUGUAGGUAGCAGCUACUAAGUACCAAUAUCGUUAAAUAAUAUUAAGUAGGAACCUAUACGAGAGUUUAUUAAUAAAAAGAUGCUAUA